Long non-coding RNA from Musa acuminata AAA Group (dessert banana), 580 nucleotides. RefSeq lists it as uncharacterized. Lineage: Eukaryota; Viridiplantae; Streptophyta; Magnoliopsida; Zingiberales; Musaceae. The record is from RefSeq and is a predicted model, not a curated record. The transcript has 2 exons.
GUGCACAUGCCACUAAGCAUGAUUCUUGGAGGCAACUUCUUGACCUUAAUGUCUCCACUUCAAAGCUUGGAGCCAAUUGAUGUUACAAGCAACAAUGGCAGUGUGGAGACGUUUCACUGCACCCAGAUGCAGAACGAGAGGCAUGGAGAGAUGUGCUGAUUCCAUUCCGUCAUCUCAGGUUCCGUGUGCGAUGCUUCAGAGAGAGAAUCUCUCUCUUUCUCCACCGCCCACGCUGCACCCCGAGAGGACGCACACGUACAGAUCAUGGCAUCGAGUCGUUGUUCCCGAGAGAUGGUAUGUCACAGGUGAUAUGCUCGUCAAGAAGACAACCUAUUGCAGACCCCGAAGAAGCUUAAACCACAAGUCUCCCUGCGCCGGAAAAGGAGAUUUGAAUGACACAGAAGCAAUGGAAGGAAGCUGUUCGUGCUAUAUUCUAUGUGGAGGUGACUGUGGAUGACUAUAUUCCGCCUGACAAGGAUGCGUUUGAGCCAUAGAACUUGCCAAUGGAUGUGAAGGAUGUGCUUCACUGUGCUCUUUUCUCUUUUGAUAUGUUCUGGUGCUAAAUUCCUUCAUCGUUUCA